GCCCUUUGCGCAGCCCUAACCAUGCAAGUCGAGCGGCAGCGGAAGUAGCUUGCUACUUUGCCGGCGAGCGGCGGACGGGUGAGUAAUGUCUGGGAAACUGCCUGAUGGAGGGGGAUAACUACUGGAAACGGUAGCUAAUACCGCAUAACGUCGCAAGACCAAAGAGGGGGACCUUCGGGCCUCUUGCCAUCAGAUGUGCCCAGAUGGGAUUAGCUAGUAGGUGGGGUAACGGCUCACCUAGGCGACGAUCCCUAGCUGGUCUGAGAGGAUGACCAGCCACACUGGAACUGAGACACGGUCCAGACUCCUACGGGAGGCAGCAGUGGGGAAUAUUGCACAAUGGGCGCAAGCCUGAUGCAGCCAUGCCGCGUGUAUGAAGAAGGCCUUCGGGUUGUAAAGUACUUUCAGCGGGGAGGAAGGUGUUGAGGUUAAUAACCUCAGCAAUUGACGUUACCCGCAGAAGAAGCACCGGCUAACUCCGUGCCAGCAGCCGCGGUAAUACGGAGGGUGCAAGCGUUAAUCGGAAUUACUGGGCGUAAAGCGCACGCAGGCGGUCUGUCAAGUCAGAUGUGAAAUCCCCGGGCUCAACCUGGGAACUGCAUUCGAAACUGGCAGGCUAGAGUCUUGUAGAGGGGGGUAGAAUUCCAGGUGUAGCGGUGAAAUGCGUAGAGAUCUGGAGGAAUACCGGUGGCGAAGGCGGCCCCCUGGACAAAGACUGACGCUCAUGUGCGAAAGCGUGGGGAGCAAACAGGAUUAGAUACUCUGGUAGUCCACGCCGUAAACGAUGUCGACUUGGAGGUUGUGCCCUUGAGGCGUGGCUUCCGGAGCUAACGCGUUAAGUCGACCGCCUGGGGAGUACGGCCGCAAGGUUAAAACUCAUAUGAAUUGACGGGGGCCCGCACAAGCGGUGGAGCAUGUGGUUUUAUUUCGAUGCAACGCGAAGAACCUUACCUACUCUUGACAUCCAGAGAACUUUCCAGAGAUGGAUUGGUGCCUUCGAGAACUCUGAGACAGGUGCUGCAUGCUGUCGUCAGCUCGUGUGUGAAUGUUGGUUAGUCCCGCAACGAGCGCACCCUUAUCUUUUGUUGCAGCGUCCGGCGGGAACUCAAAGGAACUGCAGUGAUAACCUGAGAGGUGGGAUGACGUCAAGUCUCAUGGCUUACGAGAGGCUACCACGGUCUCACAUGGCGCCUA
Molecule: ribosomal RNA, 1194 nt
Filed under: Enterobacter asburiae
Lineage: Bacteria; Pseudomonadati; Pseudomonadota; Gammaproteobacteria; Enterobacterales; Enterobacteriaceae
Description: bacterial SSU rRNA
Rfam family: Bacterial small subunit ribosomal RNA
Source: RNAcentral